This is a non-coding RNA of Hydrogenibacillus schlegelii, 145 nucleotides long. Lineage: Bacteria; Bacillati; Bacillota; Bacilli; Thermicanales; Thermicanaceae. The record is from Rfam.
CAACCGAAUCACGAAACGCCGCAGACCGAAGGGGCCGCAAGGCUUAAACAUCCUUCCGAGGCAGAUCGUCGACCGCCGGGGUCGACCGGCGCUCGCGUGCCUUCCGUCCGGCUGCCUGUCUGCGGAAGGCUUUUUGCUUAAAGAA